UUCGGCGAUGAGAUCAGCCUGUC
This 23-nucleotide microRNA is filed under the name Tribolium castaneum (red flour beetle). Its description in RNAcentral is "tca-miR-6012-3p". Lineage: Eukaryota; Metazoa; Arthropoda; Insecta; Coleoptera; Tenebrionidae. The record is from miRBase by way of RNAcentral.